AACGAACGCUGGCGGCGUGUUUAAGACAUGCAAGUCGCACGGAAUCAGUUUUGUAGCAAUACUUGACUGGUUCAGUGGCGCACGGGUGAGUAACACGUGAAUAACAUGCCCUAUAGUGGGGAAUAACCGGCCGAAAGGCUGACUAAUACCCCAUGGUCUCGCAAGAGUAAAGGUGGCCGCAAGGCUGUCGCUAUGGGAUUGGUUCGCGUCCUAUCAGCUAGUUGACGGGGUAACGGCCCACCAAGGCGACGACGGGUACCUGGUCUGAGAGGACGAUCAGGCACACUGGAACUGAGACACGGUCCAGACACCUACGGGUGGCAGCAGUCGAGAAUAAUUCACAAUGGGGGCAACCCUGAUGGUGCAACGCCGCGUGGAGGAUGACGGUCUUCGGGUUGUAAACUCCUGUCAUCUGGGAGCAAGACCUGGCUGUGAAUAGCAGACAGGGUUGAUAGUACCGGAAGAGGAAGGGACGGCUAACUUCGUGCCAGCCGCCGCGGUAA
This 503-nucleotide ribosomal RNA is filed under the name uncultured bacterium. RNAcentral's name for it is "partial 16S ribosomal RNA". It matches the Rfam family "Bacterial small subunit ribosomal RNA", at positions 29 to 523 of the family's 1533-position model. The record is from RNAcentral.